GGGCCGAUAGCUCAGCUAGGUAGAGCGCCGGGCUCUUAACCCGGUGGUCGCGGGUUCGAAUCCCGCUCGGCCCGCCA
RNAcentral lists this transfer RNA (77 nucleotides) under Candidatus Freyarchaeota archaeon. RNAcentral describes it as "tRNA-Lys". It matches the Rfam family "tRNA". Rfam says of the family: Transfer RNA (tRNA) molecules are approximately 80 nucleotides in length. Their secondary structure includes four short double-helical elements and three loops (D, anti-codon, and T loops). Lineage: Archaea; Promethearchaeati; Candidatus Freyarchaeota. The record is from RNAcentral.